RNAcentral lists this long non-coding RNA (1254 nucleotides) under Scleropages formosus (Asian bonytongue). RNAcentral describes it as "lncRNA (ENSSFOG00015030742.1)". Lineage: Eukaryota; Metazoa; Chordata; Actinopteri; Osteoglossiformes; Osteoglossidae. The record is from RNAcentral.
GGAAUCCACACUGUAAUUCCAUCUGCUUAAUAGUUGUAUCCUGCCCUUUCCAAAUAUAGUUUGUUUCCCACCAAACGCUGUGGUUCUGUUAGAAAACACGCUUUUUUUGUAUCGAUAAAAAGUACUUUUUUUCUCGGAUUCGAGCAUUAAAACCACAUGUUUAAAGUGUCUCUGAGACGGAGACUAAUUACUGAUGACAGUAGAGGUUGGGUCACUCAUUCCUCAUGCUGAACUGGGCACGGCUAUGACUUUGUUGGACCCAAACAACAGUACAGUUCACAGAUUGAAAUGGCAGUGAUGGCACAAGAUGUCCCUGGAGGCAGAUAAAAACAGUUUUGUGGUUUCCAAGGAGAGAAGUACAUCCUGUGGCUUUCAGGGUGCUGAAGAGAAAGAGGAGAUCCCAGGGAUGGGAGAGGACAGUGUUCUGGAAAUGCUGAGCUACUCCAAAUUUACAGACCUGGAGACAUGGCUGUGUAUGCCUUCUACACUGCUGCCGAGAAGUUUGGAAUCAUUAUGUGCCACCUCUCAGUCCCUGACACCUAGUGAAACUGCAGACGCUGAGAAGAAACCCAGACCGCCGGAGGGGGACACCCCGUUCUUGUCACCACCCACAAUGGCACCUCAGUCAUCAAGGUCACCGUCACCCAUUCCUAUGGGGUCCCCAGUGCCCUCUUCGUUGGAUUCUUCAGGGAGCUCUGUCCAGGGAGGGGUUAGCGUCAGGAAGCGCCGGCGUCUGGCUGCGAGUCCUGGGGGACUGCGCUGGAAUUCUUCAGGGUUGUUGCAGCGGGACUAUGACACAGCUGAAACCCUGCCUGCUCCAGGGGCCAAGCGCAGCCCUGGCAGUGACACCAGCCUCCACACUGGCCUCUUGGGAGACUUGCAAAGAGCUACCCUGACGAAGAGUGUUUCUGUAGAUGACCGCCUGUUUCAGAAACAACACAAAGAGUCGCACAAACUACUUACACGCUUGGAAAGGGGCAAGAACAAGCUGCGAAAUAUCCAUGCAUACUUCUUCCAGUGUCUUACUCCUGCCUUCUUCAGUUUCCUGUCAUGAAGCCAUUGAAGAAACCUUUGCUGGCUAACCAACGGGAGUGUUUCCUGCAGUUUUAGGAAUGUUACACCUUGAAACAAAUAAGCAUACUUCUCACAUAAUGAGAUUCGACUUUGGAAAUGAAAGAAAUGAAAGUUAUUACAACAUUUCUGUUAAUUUUUGGAUAUUUUCAAUAAAUGGAUUUUACCAGUCUUCUUAGGCCA